RNAcentral lists this long non-coding RNA (1066 nucleotides) under Callithrix jacchus (white-tufted-ear marmoset). Its description in RNAcentral is "lncRNA (ENSCJAG00000070926.1)". Lineage: Eukaryota; Metazoa; Chordata; Mammalia; Primates; Cebidae. The record is from RNAcentral.
CUGCAGAGCUUUGUAUCUAAUAGUUCACUUCAAAUUGCUGCCUGUAUAGGAGUUACUAAAGCUAUGGCAAUUUCAGUGAAUUGAUGUAAUUUAACACCCAUAUUGACUGAUUAUUUUGAAGGAAAAAGAAAGCAACACUGUCACUGAGAAAUGAUUCUUCUGCCUGCGGUCAUCCUACAGAACAACUCAUAAAACAUAUAUGUGCAGUUGUGAUUCAGCUGGACAGUGUCCCCAUGAGCCGUGCAAGACAUGCCUCCUUCUUCUUCACCUUUCACCAUAAGUUUCCUGAGGCCUCCCCAGCUUCCUGUACACACUGCAGAACCAGCAUGACACAGUGCAAGCCAUAGAAAAGAUGCUCAAAAAAUUUUUGGGGGAGGACUCAAGAUGGCGCUGUGAGAACAACCCAGGAUUGGAGCUCGCAUUGAAUCCGCAAACGUUUGAAGAUCUAGCUAAAGCUCUAUGUCUUGCUGGGAUUGAAAGCCACAAACAUGAACAAGAAAACAAUUCUACUCUCCACUUCUUCACAAUGCAAAAAGCUGAAAAUCUACCUGGUUUUAAAUGAAGCAAACUGAUUAGUACUUUGUUGUACCUAAAGGGUUUGGAUUACCUAAUUUGCCUCUGACAAGUACUGGGUAAAGAAACAAUAUUGCAUCAGUAAUAGUCAAAAAAUAUGUUUAACUUUGGGUGUAAUAAGCCAUUAUUUUAAAGAAAGUUAUUAUAUUCAUAUAUUUUAUUGUAGUUUUUCAAAGGCUGAUUCACAUAAAGUUAGCAGCAAGAAAAUUAAAAUAUUUAAGACAGUCUAUUCUGAGAUUAGGAACAUGGGAAAUUUUUAUUUCUUCUUUGAACUAGUUUUUGAUUCCUCAAUCUUAAACCCCAAUGGAAAACAUAUUACUAAAUUGGACAUUAAGAUAAUGAAUUAUUAACAUAGAACAAUAAAUAUGAAAAUACCAAUCUGAGUAGAAAUGAUGAGAUUUUAAAUGAAGGGAGUACACCUUCAUUUAAAGUGUACUUUCAGUGUGGGCUGGAGGAGACCUAGCUUAUCAGCUCACUUCUGUAUCAUAGAAAA